AAACGCUGAAAGCAUCUAAGCGUGAAGCCGGCCCCAAGAUGAGAUAUCCCAUCGAAAGAGUAAGACCCCACAAAGACUAAGUGGUUGAUAGGUCAGGAGUGUAAGCACAGUAAUGUGUUAAGCGGACUGAUACUAAUAGGUCGAGGGCUUGACCAA
Molecule: ribosomal RNA, 156 nt
Filed under: Clostridia bacterium
Lineage: Bacteria; Bacillati; Bacillota; Clostridia
Description: partial 23S ribosomal RNA
Rfam family: Bacterial large subunit ribosomal RNA
Source: RNAcentral